This 253-nucleotide ribosomal RNA is filed under the name uncultured bacterium. RNAcentral's name for it is "partial 16S ribosomal RNA". It matches the Rfam family "Bacterial small subunit ribosomal RNA", at positions 524 to 776 of the family's 1533-position model. The record is from RNAcentral.
UACGUAGGGUGCAAGCGUUAAUCGGAAUUACUGGGCGUAAAGCGUGCGCAGGCGGUUUUGUAAGACUGUCGUGAAAUCCCCGGGCUCAACCUGGGAACUGCAUUUGUGACUGCAUGGCUAGAGUACGGUAGAGGGGGAUGGAAUUCCGCGUGUAGCAGUGAAAUGCGUAGAUAUGCGGAGGAACACCGAUGGCGAAGGCAAUCCCCUGGACCUGUACUGACGCUCAUGCACGAAAGCGUGGGGAGCAAACAGG